UUUUUUUAUUGUUAUAAGAUGUCUUUUCGAUCGCUUUCGGGGGAAAAAAUAUAUGGAAUGAGGCUCUUUUCUGAUCUUGUUUGUAUUCAAAUUUGGGGACGAAUCGAGACUGAAGAAUCGAAGAUAUACAGGAAAUAAAACUGCAACGGAUAAAUCAUUGGGAAAAAGGGAACAGAACACGAAAAAAAGACAGUGAUAACCGAUAUAAAAGUAUGAAUGAAAGAGAGUGAGAGUUUUAUAUAUAUAUAAAAGGAAAUGAUUGAUUAUAUAGUGCAUUAACACCCGCUGUGUAUUAGCACGAGAACAAUCCCACACCUAACUAAGGCUCGGAAUAAAAUGAAAUAAAAAUCCACACCUUCGUAAAACACCCCACAUUAAAACCCAAAAUCCACACCCAAUGGAGAAGGAAUUAAUAGUUUUAAACAGACGACCUUCACAGACCCGCAGUUAACCGCAACAGGUGCCACUGCCUCCUCAAAAACAACCUGUUUCACACUGCUCUCUCGCGUGUGAUGCGUCUGCUUGAGAGGCAGGCAUUUCUACCACCCUUAUGCCAUGGUCACCAAGCUGCAUUUUGCCAUUAUGGUUUCUUGAAGGUCAUGCAAUAGAACACUUACAAAAAUGGGAUGGUAGAGACGGUCAACUUGCAAGCUGUUGAUUGUAAUGCUUUUGGCAAGGACAAGUGAAUAUUUUUGGCCUUGUGAUUACCUGAGGAAAAGAGAGGAGUUUAGUUUUUGUUGUUUUUUAUUUUAGUACGUCCUGUUUUUUUGAGAAAGUUGAACCUUGAACAAAUUUUAUGGAAAUUAGUAAAGUGGCCUGUGCUUCAAUAAACUCAGUUGUUCAAAGAAUCGACUAUGUUAUUGUUGUUAAGUGGAAACUGUUACGUCGUACUAUUGUGAGAAAAAGGAAGAAAAGAAACGGCACCUGCCAAAGUCAACAAUUGCCUUUAUGUAAAUUCUUUUCCCUGUUGGAACAAGUACAAGAUAUAUAAAUGUAAGCAACAGAGUAUACAUAUUGCGUGUGGGAGUGCUUCCAAUUCUUUCUCGAGUGCCUUACUGAAAAGUGUUAUCAAAUGCAUGUAUAGUGUUGAAAACUAGUAAAAGUUUUUUGCUGUUAGAAGAGUGUUACAAAAUUAUUACAAAUUAGAAGUAGAGGACAUUUCCCCCCCUCAAGAGAAUAGUUUAUAUUUUGUGACCAGACAGAUAAUUUAGAUAUUUUUGUAGUAGCCUAGUGAAAGUAUAGAGAAAUUAACUUUCCUGAUAUGACGAGUGGAUUGUGAUAAAGAAAAGAGUAUAUAUAAGUAUAUAUAUUAAACCUUUUUUACCCGGAAGAAUAUAGGGAUUGAAAACUGACCAAGUUCUAGACAACUGUGAAGUGUUUCAGUCUUUGACAAAGUUCAACAUCUGGAAGUUUUUUUAGAAAAUAAAUCUAGGGGAGUACCUUAUUGAAAAGAAAAUAGAAAAGCUAGCUAGAGAGGGGAAGAA
Penaeus chinensis is the source of this 1484-nucleotide long non-coding RNA. RefSeq lists it as uncharacterized. The transcript has 2 exons. NCBI's taxonomy places the organism in Eukaryota, Metazoa, Arthropoda, Malacostraca, Decapoda, Penaeidae. The record is from RefSeq and is a predicted model, not a curated record.